AGAUGGAGCGCAGGUGACGGGAAGAAUAGGGUGCAUUAACGCAUAUAAUCCAUACAUAACGUAUGUUUGACCUGAUGCCGUUUGAUAUAAAAGGGGUUACAAAGAGGAAAACCGCUCUCUUUCGCUUGUGAUCCCUGACCGAUUCGUAGUGCGCGCGUGUGUAGAAUAUUUCCGGAGUUUGAGGUUAACUUUGACUACCUCAUUAAAUUGUGGAGAUUUUAAAACUCAGUGUUUCUUUUCUAGAAUAGGCUAAAUCGUCAUUGGUAGUGACUAAAUCAAAAUUAGUAGUAAUCGACCCUAAAAGUUAAAAUAAUGUUAUAGUCAGUGCGACAAACCUAACCUAAAAGUGGACAGAGCGUUCCUAAUACUAGCUACAAGAAAAAGUGUGCUUAGGCCCGAGAAGUGGGCCUUUUUCUUUUAUUCGGCAGUGAAGCUCUACGAGUGGUCCACAAAGGGCCAAAUCUCCAACCCUUCAUCGGCGCACCACGGUCAGAAGGAAGCGAAAGCGACGGCUGACUACGUUUCCGGGAACUCUCCAGAAUGUGUUCAGAGACAGGAAGCGUGUCACCAUUCCGUCGGGCGAAGACAAUCAUUAUCGUCUGGAUACCGACAAAACCGGGUAAGCCGAGCCGGCUACGGCGACGCCAUCUUUCCGACGCCAACGGCAAAGCGAAUCCCUACAUCUAUGGCUGGCCAAAGCGAAUACGGACUGCAUCGACGCCUUGUUUCAGCAACCCGCCGUUCAAAGCAAACCAGUUUGGUCCGGCGCCGGCUCUUCGUUUCCGGUGUCAUCUGCCAGCCAAAGCAAAAUGUUCCCGUCAUCAGAGCUAUCGCUACAGAACCGUCCGCUGGUUGAAGCCCCGGCUUCCUGAAGAGUCAAGAAACACCUCAAGCACAAUCAGAACAAUAUGCGCAAGUACCCCUAAUAACUGUGACGUCAUAAAUAAAUUUUGUACCUAUUAGUUAAGCCAAACAAGUCUCUGUGAUAGUUUAUUUAAAGUGAGUAGCCCUGAACC
This is a long non-coding RNA of Armigeres subalbatus, 1016 nucleotides long. RefSeq lists it as uncharacterized. The record is from RefSeq and is a predicted model, not a curated record. NCBI's taxonomy places the organism in Eukaryota, Metazoa, Arthropoda, Insecta, Diptera, Culicidae. The transcript is spliced from 3 exons.